UUCAUAAAAUUUGACCUCAAAUCAGGUAGGACUACCCGCUGAACUUAAGCAUAUCAAUAAG
RNAcentral lists this ribosomal RNA (61 nucleotides) under Hygrophorus olivaceoalbus. RNAcentral describes it as "partial 28S ribosomal RNA". The record is from RNAcentral. Lineage: Eukaryota; Fungi; Basidiomycota; Agaricomycetes; Agaricales; Hygrophoraceae.